GGAAGGGUCAGCAUGCUGAGUCCAAGGACCAACGUUCUGAUAUGUGUACUUAUGGACAGCCACGGACGUCCUGUGUUAACUGACGGACAGACACGGACACACACGGACAGCCACGGACAUCCUGUGUGUGCUGACAUAUAGCAUGGACAGGCACGGACGUCCUGUGUGUGCUGGCGGACACCCACGGACAUCCUCUGUGUAGAAACCCGUUAAAAAAAAAAAAGAAGAAAAGAAAAGAGUGGUCGAGUAUCUUUGUGGUGGUUAAGUCGCGGGCAAUAAGGAUCGAUCGAGAAUUUUUGAAGUACGAUGUGGUCGAAGAAUGGAUCGUGAGUGAACCAUGAGACAUAUUAAGCUGCUCUACCUUUCUUAGAAGAGUCUUAGAUUGAUCAGACGAAGUUUUUGGAAGAAUCACAUUUUUGGAAGCACGACGGUUUAGAAGCUCGACGUUUUUGAAGAUUGACGUUUCUUCAUCGCGAUGUUUUCUCGGAAUAUCUUCG
This 497-nucleotide long non-coding RNA is filed under the name Brassica rapa (field mustard). RNAcentral describes it as "long non-coding RNA (BRAP_LNC008642)". The record is from RNAcentral. Lineage: Eukaryota; Viridiplantae; Streptophyta; Magnoliopsida; Brassicales; Brassicaceae.